UACGUAGGGUGCGAGCGUUGUCCGGAAUUAUUGGGCGUAAAGAGCUUGUAGGCGGUCUGUCGCGUCUGCUGUGAAAAUCCGGGGCUCAACCCCGGACUUGCAGUGGGUACGGGCAGACUAGAGUGUGGUAGGGGAGACUGGAAUUCCUGGUGUAGCGGUGAAAUGCGUAGAUAUCUGGAGGAACACCGAUGGCGAAGGCAGGUCUCUGGGCCACUACUGACGCUGAGAAGCGAAAGCAUGGGGAGCGAACAGG
This 253-nucleotide ribosomal RNA is filed under the name uncultured bacterium. Its description in RNAcentral is "partial 16S ribosomal RNA". It matches the Rfam family "Bacterial small subunit ribosomal RNA", at positions 524 to 776 of the family's 1533-position model. The record is from RNAcentral.